Protopterus annectens (West African lungfish) is the source of this 2276-nucleotide long non-coding RNA. RefSeq lists it as uncharacterized. The transcript is spliced from 3 exons. NCBI's taxonomy places the organism in Eukaryota, Metazoa, Chordata, Ceratodontiformes, Protopteridae. The record is from RefSeq and is a predicted model, not a curated record.
GAAUUCCAAUUCCAACUGUCUACAACAUCUUGGCUAAGUUAAAGUAUCCCUGUAAGAAGACUAAUAGGGAGAUGACUCUUUAUCCCAAGCAAGAGGUCUCUUUCCCCUGCUACCCUGAGAAGAAUCUCCAGGAGUAUAUCCCAGACCAAAAAGGAAGAUGGUUUUCCCAUACUCUUACUGGAUACUGUAACAGCUGCAGAGGACGUGUUGAACCCGCAGUUCAUGAUGGCAUGAAUUCCAAUUCCAACUGUCUACAACAUCUUGGCUAAGUUAAAGUAUCCCUGUAAGAAGACUAAUAGGGAGAUGACUCUUUAUCCCAAGCAAGAGGUCUCUUUCCCCUGCUACCCUGAGAAGAAUCUCCAGGAGUAUAUCCCAGACCAAAAAGGAAGAUGGUUUUCCCAUACUCUUACUGGAUACUGUAACAGCUGCAGAGGACGUGUUGAACCCGCAGUUCAUGAUGGCAGAAGUAGCAACACUAGAGGAGCUUAGAUAAACCAAUGCAGGAGUGGAGGAACAACAGAUGGUCACUCCAGGAUCCCCCACCAGUGACUGAGACACUGACUGGGCCUUCACUGGCUGCAAGGGCUUACUUUUAGUAAGUUUUUUCUUGUUAGGUACAGUGGUAAAAGCAAAAUAGUGGUAACACAAAUGCAACAGAAAAACCACUUGUCCUGAAGAAACCAGCACUCAGCGGAAGCAAUAAUCCGUCCUUUAAUUGAAAAUCACAGCUCAGAUCAGAAAUAGCAUUUAAAACCAACUAAAACUUAUUUCAUGAAUACGGAUCAAGGGCUUUCAUCCACCAGUGCUGGUUUCUUCAGGACAAGUGGUUUUUCUACAGUGGUAAAAGAACCAAUAGGACUGGGGUGAGUAUGUAUGGUGUGAUCUUGGAAGAAGCUUGAUUGUUGUUAAGCAGUGCUGGAAAGAGUCGAUCAGAAGGUAAGUCACCACCAAGUGAUCACACACAGCAAGCUCAUGCUAAGACUUCCCCAAAUAGUCCCAAAACCAAAGUAGUUGUACAAGCAAUGCAUAAAAUCUCCUGACUAACAAUAGUUCCUUUCCCUGCACUGCUCAUGUAAGUUAUCACUGAGUACAGAAGCACUACUAAAAAUGGCCAUAGUUUUAACAUUCUCCUUAAAUAAAACACAAAUACCUAAAUUCAAAUGUUGCUAAAGCAGUACACUUUUAACAUAAAAAAUGCACCCAAGAAAAUAAAUAUGCCUCUAAAGUUAGUAAAACGGUUCUUGUCAGGAAACUACAGAUACAUCAUUAAAUACCUGGUUUCUUAAAGAAAAAAUGGCACUUUUAGUCAAAAAUUAGAAAAAAAAUAUGUUCUAAUCUUAAAAAUGGAAAUGAAUUAUAAAUGGAAUGGUUUUCCAAAGGGGAACUUAUCUGACAUAAAUGAAGGUAUAGAUUGCUUGCAGUUCCUUAUUUACUUCCUAGAGGCAAUAAGAAAGUACCAAAGGCACUUCUUUCUAGCUGCUGUUUAUCAGAUUAGUGCUGGCUAAUCAGCAGUGCGAGGAAGGGACUGGGAGGGAGCCAGAGCUUUUGAAGCAGACCAUGCGCUGCUUCCUAGGCAGGAAAUAACCAGAAUAGCCAAAGCUGCUGCAGCAGUGGGAAUGAUGAACAUCUUCUCCUUUCGCUUUUUCCUCAUGUCAGGUAUAUCUACCUGUAAAUGUAAAGAUUCAUACAUGUGAAAUGAUGGCAUAUUACACACAUUCUACCUGUACCUUAGCACCACACACAUAUGUCCAGUCUUACCAAUGGCUGUGUUACAUGCCACCCAUGUUGAAGUUCAAGCUGCUUGUAUGUUGCCCAUCUUUCAGUGACAGUCAGUAUGGAAUGGUACUAGGUGUUGGACUGACACACAGUAGGAGACUGAAUUACUCUGCAAAGUACACUAUGCAGAAACUCAUGGAGCAUGUCGUGUUCUGUAAAGGACACUAUGCAGAAACUCAUGAAGCAUGUCAUGUUCUGUAAAGGACACUAUGAAGAAACUCAUGGAGCAUGUCAUGUGUUUUGUAAAGGACACUAUGCAGAAACUCAUGGAACAUACCAUGUGUUCUGUAAAGGACACCAUGCAGAAACUUGUGGAGCAUAUCAUGUGCUCUGUAAAGGACAACAUACAGAAACAAAUGGAGCAUAUCAUGUGUUCUGCAAAGGACACGAUGCAGAACCUCAUGGAGCAUAUCAUGUGUUCUGCAAAGGACACUAUGCAGAAAUUCAUGAAGCAUACCAUGUGUUCUGUAAAGGACACCAUGCAGAAACUCAUAGAGCAU